RNAcentral lists this ribosomal RNA (427 nucleotides) under uncultured bacterium. RNAcentral's name for it is "partial 16S ribosomal RNA". It matches the Rfam family "Bacterial small subunit ribosomal RNA", at positions 354 to 796 of the family's 1533-position model. The record is from RNAcentral.
GUGGGGAAUAUUGGGCAAUGGGGGCAACCCUGACCCAGCGACGCCGCGUGAGGGAAGACGGCCUUCGGGUUGUAAACCUCUUUUGUACGGGAAGAAGGAAGUGACGGUACUGUACGAAUAAGUCCCGGCUAACUACGUGCCAGCAGCCGCGGUAAUACGUAGGGGACGAGCGUUGUCCGGAAUUACUGGGCGUAAAGGGCGCGCAGGCUGUGCUGCAAGUCAGCUGUGAAAUGUCUGGGCUUAACCCGGGCAUGCGGUUGAGAAUGCAGUGCUGGAGUGCUGUAGAGGCAAGUGGAAUUCCCAGUGUAGCGGUGAAAUGCGUAGAUAUUGGGAAGAACACCGGUGGCGAAGGCGACUUGCUGGGCAGCAACUGACGCUGAGGCGCGAAAGCCAGGGGAGCAAACGGGAUUAGAAACCCCUGUAGUCC